Long non-coding RNA from Phymastichus coffea, 849 nucleotides. RefSeq lists it as uncharacterized. The transcript has 3 exons. The record is from RefSeq and is a predicted model, not a curated record. NCBI's taxonomy places the organism in Eukaryota, Metazoa, Arthropoda, Insecta, Hymenoptera, Eulophidae.
AGAGAGGGAAAAUUUGGGCAGUAGUGCGCACCGGAAAACUCAAGCCGGCAUUACUUCUCUAAUAGUCGUCCUGUACGCUUGUUCAGUAAAUACCGUAGAAGUGCAAAAAUGCUCAAGUAUGCUGCGAUCAAGUUUCAUUGUGAUCCGGAAAAAAUCUACGUGAUUCGGGCGAAGAAACAUUUGAAGUUUGAAAAAAAAUUUUAUGUAGACAAAUUAAUAUGUAAAGCGCGUUGGAAGUGCAGACAAUCCUGCAAGGGAUCUGAGCAUAUGGACGAUGAUGAUCAUCGGUGUGCUGAAGUCCUUCUUAUGGGCAAUUGCCAUGAUAAUAUCGUAACCAUGCUGCAACGUUAUCAUCAACUUACCGUGAUCCAGAUCGAGGAGCAACUUGAAAAUUUGCCAAUUGAGCAAGAAGCAAGUGAUAGAAGCUGAAAUAUUAUAAAUGUAAACGAAAGCGAGAGUAGCUGAACCAAUCAAGGUGACCAGCCAGGCAGACAUAUUUUAACAGAGGAUGCUAUCUGUAAUAGUGACCAAUACAGUCCGGAAGGGAACGAUAGAGAAUUCAGUGCAGUCGUAGAUGAAUCGUACUCGAUCGUAUUGAGGCUGAGGAAAAGAAGCCGUAUGGUUGCGAAAUAAAUAGUACAACAGCGAUCAGCAGGGCACCCAUGCGGCUACCGAUGCUACACUGCAAACUUCUGGCGAUUCAGUUCAUAUUGUUGUUUACUUCACAUCUUAUCGUGAUUGAAUAAUUUUUUAAUAGAAAAAUUGGUUUGGGUAAAAUAACUAAUAGAUAUUUUAUGACGCAAUUUAAUGUAGAUUUCACACGUAUACAUGAGAAUAUUGAAUAAAUAG